CGCAAAGAGGCGUGUUCUUUCAUAGGCCGAGUGUCGUCUCUUUUUUUUUCAUUCUUUGGCAGAGGGAUGGGCCAGGGAGGCCUCACGCCCUCCAUCCACCAGCAACGUAUCUCUCUUCUCUUUUUUUUCUCAAACAGAAAGAAGAUCGCGCAUUGACGACGGCGAGGCGCUGCGUCAUUGGCGACGACGCGGAUUUCUUGUGAUCGGUGCGCGCAGCCUGGUUGUCCACGAGAUGCCCCGUGCGGACUCUGGCGCGCCAACUCGUCGCCAUUGGGAAUGCGUCGUCAUUUGAGAGGCACGCACGUGUCCGUGCGGGAUCGAGCGUCUUCUUUUCGGCUGCGCCAGAGGCGAUAAAAACCCGCGCGCGCGUGCACGACCGGGCACGAUACCACCGCGCCCCACCCCACCCAAAAAAGAAGAAGGGACAAAGACGAAGAAACAGCAACGGCCUUUUUGGGCGGUCGCAAGGCCGACCGGUGGGUGGACGCUCGCGUCUUGGUGUCUUUCUUUGUUCGUCUCACUUUGCCUUGUGCAAGAGAAAAAAAAACGGAGACGACCCAAGAGACCAAAUCGCCGCGGGCGCCCAACGACAGCGCGGCGUAUUCUGUUUACGGAAGGAUUUAAAAAAAAAGAGAAAACAAUGCCAACA
RNAcentral lists this long non-coding RNA (649 nucleotides) under Pandoravirus neocaledonia. Its description in RNAcentral is "hypothetical ncRNA". The record is from RNAcentral.